Molecule: transfer RNA, 84 nt
Filed under: Bacillota bacterium
Lineage: Bacteria; Bacillati; Bacillota
Description: Firmicutes bacterium (anaerobic digester metagenome) tRNA-Leu
Rfam family: tRNA
About the family: Transfer RNA (tRNA) molecules are approximately 80 nucleotides in length. Their secondary structure includes four short double-helical elements and three loops (D, anti-codon, and T loops).
Source: RNAcentral
GCCCAGGUGGCGGAAUUGGCAGACGCGUACGUUUGAGGGGCGUAUGGGCUUCCCGUACCGGUUCGAGUCCGGUCCUGGGCACCA